RNAcentral lists this ribosomal RNA (136 nucleotides) under uncultured bacterium. Its description in RNAcentral is "partial 16S ribosomal RNA". It matches the Rfam family "Bacterial small subunit ribosomal RNA", at positions 355 to 509 of the family's 1533-position model. The record is from RNAcentral.
UGGGGAAUAUUGGACAAUGGGCGCAAGCCUGAUCCAGCCAUGCCGCGUGAGUGAUGAAGGUCUUAGGAUUGUAAAGCUCUUUCACCGGAGAAGAUAAUGACGGUAUCCGGAGAAGAAGCCCGGCUAACUUCGUGCC